CCCAAAAAAGUGCAAUGAAUCUAAUCUUCUCAAUCGUUAUGAUUAACAAGAUUGGUGUCACGUUCCUCUCUCUCUGACCUCCCUGGUAUUUUGCAUACGCCUCACCAUGUCUACAUGAGGAACGAGGACGUCUGAUACUGUAUUUCUUGAGCGCCGCAACUUGCUCUGCGCAUCGCGUGGAGGUGUGCUUGUUCUCAACAACAACAACAACAACAACAACAACAACAAAAAACAGGACGUCUCCCACUUUUCCUGAAGUUGGCUGUGCUCUCCACCGAUCUUUCUCUUCACGGCAGCUAAUGAGAAAGUGGGCCUGGGUUUGUCCUUGAUGGUGGGGCUGGAGACGCACAGGUAGAGCUUCCCGUCCUCCUCCAUGCAGGCUUCAAUCAGGGCCUGCACGGACGUCUCGUCCUGGAACAGCAGGAAGGCGUAUCCUUUGGGCGGAAAGUAGGACUUGCUCUCGGCUUUGUGCGGCCAGUCCACCACCAGGUGACCGAAGCGGCGGAAGCUGGAGGUUAUUUCAUCUGGAGGAGGAGUGCAAACAAAGGGUCGUGUUUUUCGUCGGACCUUGUUGUCACGUUCCAGCAUUCCUUGUUUCCACGUCACCGACCCAAGUAAGACACCACCCCAACGCUUAUGCGGCAGACGGCAGUUUUAUGGGCAAGAUCACUCGCCGCACCCAAACACUCACAUUAACAUUUCCUGAUUCUCACUCGGAACGCAUUAGUGUUCAUGUUUUUGACGCUAUGAAUUAUGACCUUAUUUUUUGGUUGAAAUUACAUAACUCCAACAUUGACUGCUCCUCUGGGGAUGUUAUGUCGUGGGGCAGCAAUGGCGCCCAGAACUGUUUCAAGCCUCUAUGUAAUGUUCAGGAGUAUGUGGAAGAAUCACUGGCAGCCGGGGUCAUUCGCCCGUCUUCGUCCCCUGCGGGGGCAGGAUUUUUCUUUGUGGACAAAAAGGACAAGACCCUGCGACCCUGUAUCGAUUACGGGGGUCUCAACGAAAUAACUGUGAAAAACAGGUAUCCUCUUCCUCUCAUCUCCACCGCCUUUGAGUUCCUGGAGGGAAGUCCCCAAAACUGGACUUAAGAAAUGCGUAUCAUCUAGUCAGGAUAAGGAACGGGGAUGAAUGGAAAACAGCAUUCAACGCACCCACGGGACAUUCUGAGUAUUUGCGGUUACUCCAGAAUGAACUUUCUGUCAAGGCUGAGAAAUGUGAGUUCCACAAGGCGUCCGUUUCUUUUCUGGGUUUCGUGCUGGCUCCAGGUGAAAUCAAAAUGGACCCUUGCAAAGUUGAUGCCGUGACCAAUCGGCCCACUCCCACGUCACGCAAAGACGUACAAUGGUUCUUAGGGUUCGCUAAUUUCUUACAUCCUUGUGCUUAUCUCUCUAAAAAAAACGGACUCCAGCCGAGAGAAAUUCUGACAUAGGUGACCGUGAACUGCUGGCUGUCAAGGUGGCUUUGGUGGAUUGGAGACACUGGCUAGAAGGGGCUCAGACUCCAUUUUUAGUAUGGACAGAUCACAAGAACCUUGAGUAUCUUAAGUCUGCUAAAAGAUGAAAUGCCAGGCAGGCUAGAUGGGCUCUAUUCUUCACAAGAUUUAAUUUCAUGUUAUCCUACCGACCUGGUUCUAAAAAUGGUAACCCAGAUUCUUUGUCACGUAUUUUCUGCAAAGAGAAUUCUUUGUCCGACCCUAAAAUCGUAUUGCCCAAGUCAUGUUUCAUUUCUGCUUUUGUUUGGGACAUUGAAACUGUGGUAAAAGAGGCUCAGAAUGACACUCUCAGUCCUGAAGAUUGCCCUGAAAACAGGCUUUAUGUGGUCUUAAGGGGAAGAGUCAUCCACUGGGCUCACACUAACCGGACUGUAUGUCACCCAGGCAUUGCCAAAACGCAAUCUGUGUUCGAACAGCGCUUUUGUGAGUAGGGAUGUUAUCACUUACGUCAAUGCUUGCCAGGUGUGCGCUGCUAACAAGCCCUCUCGUCAACGUCCUUCUGGGGAGUUGCGACCCCUGCCAAUACCACAACGUCCUUGGUCAGACCUUUCCGUA
Long non-coding RNA from Phyllopteryx taeniolatus (common seadragon), 2047 nucleotides. RefSeq lists it as uncharacterized. The transcript has 4 exons. Lineage: Eukaryota; Metazoa; Chordata; Actinopteri; Syngnathiformes; Syngnathidae. The record is from RefSeq and is a predicted model, not a curated record.